RNAcentral lists this ribosomal RNA (497 nucleotides) under uncultured bacterium. Its description in RNAcentral is "partial 16S ribosomal RNA". It matches the Rfam family "Bacterial small subunit ribosomal RNA", at positions 28 to 507 of the family's 1533-position model. The record is from RNAcentral.
GAUGAACGCUGGCGGCGUGCCUAAUACAUGCAAGUCGAGCGAACAGACGAGGAGCUUGCUCCUCUGACGUUAGCGGCGGACGGGUGAGUAACACGUGGAUAACCUACCUAUAAGACUGGGAUAACUUCGGGAAACCGGAGCUAAUACCGGAUAAUACAUUGAACCGCAUGGUUCAAUAGUGAAAGACGGUUUUGCUGUCACUUAUAGAUGGAUCCGCGCCGCAUUAGCUAGUUGGUAAGGUAACAGCUUACCAAGGCAACGAUGCGUAGCCGACCUGAGAGGGUGAUCGGCCACACUGGAACUGAGACACGGUCCAGACUCCUACGGGAGGCAGCAGUAGGGAAUCUUCCGCAAUGGGCGAAAGCCUGACGGAGCAACGCCGCGUGAGUGAUGAAGGUCUUCGGAUCGUAAAACUCUGUUAUUAGGGAAGAACAAAUGUGUAAGUAACUAUGCACGUCUUGACGGUACCUAAUCAGAAAGCCACGGCUAACUACGUG